RNAcentral lists this transfer RNA (71 nucleotides) under Marmota monax (woodchuck). RNAcentral describes it as "tRNA.Ala". The stretch from base 5 to 65 matches the Rfam family "tRNA", at positions 6 to 65 of the family's 71-position model. Rfam says of the family: Transfer RNA (tRNA) molecules are approximately 80 nucleotides in length. Their secondary structure includes four short double-helical elements and three loops (D, anti-codon, and T loops). The record is from RNAcentral. Lineage: Eukaryota; Metazoa; Chordata; Mammalia; Rodentia; Sciuridae.
GGGAUGUAGUUCUGUGGUAGAACACUUGCUUAGCAUGUGCAAGGCCCUGGGUUCAAUCCCCAGCACUGCCC